UGUGUUGGUCUAUCCGGAUCAAUCACCGUCCUCAUGAUGAUACUAUGAUUGAGAGUAUUUAAGAAUUAAAUACAUAUCUCUAAUUCUCAAUACCUUGAGAAUAUGUAUCGAAAGUUAAUUCUAUGGAUGAUUCAAGGACACAUUACACUUGAAUGAAACAUAAACUUGUCCUUUUAUUGAUCAAAUAAUGUAUUAAGCACAAAAUU
RNAcentral lists this long non-coding RNA (206 nucleotides) under Elaeis guineensis (African oil palm). Its description in RNAcentral is "long non-coding RNA (EGUI_LNC055801)". Lineage: Eukaryota; Viridiplantae; Streptophyta; Magnoliopsida; Arecales; Arecaceae. The record is from RNAcentral.